RNAcentral lists this ribosomal RNA (811 nucleotides) under uncultured bacterium. RNAcentral describes it as "bacterial SSU rRNA". It matches the Rfam family "Bacterial small subunit ribosomal RNA", at positions 1 to 811 of the family's 1533-position model. The record is from RNAcentral.
UAGAGUUUGAUCCUGGCUCAGAUUGAACGCUGGCGGCAUGCCUUACACAUGCAAGUCGAACGGCAGCACGGGUGCUUGCACCUGGUGGCGAGUGGCGAACGGGUGAGUAAUACAUCGGAACAUGUCCUGUAGUGGGGGAUAGCCCGGCGAAAGCCGGAUUAAUACCGCAUACGAUCUACGGAUGAAAGCGGGGGACCUUCGGGCCUCGCGCUAUAGGGUUGGCCGAUGGCUGAUCAGCUAGUUGGUGGGGUAAAGGCCUACCAAGGCGACGAUCAGUAGCUGGUCUGAGAGGACGACCAGCCACACUGUGACUGAGACACGGCCCAGACUCCUACGGGAGGCAGCAGUGGGGAAUUUUGGACAAUGGGCGAAAGCCUGAUCCAGCAAUGCCGCGUGUGUGAAGAAGGCCUUCGGGUUGUAAAGCACUUUUGUCCGGAAAGAAAUCCUUGGCUCUAAUACAGUCGGGGGAUGACGGUACCGGAAGAAUAAGCACCGGCUAACUACGUGCCAGCAGCCGCGGUAAUACGUAGGGUGCGAGCGUUAAUCGGAAUUACUGGGCGUAAAGCGUGCGCAGGCGGUUUGCUAAGACCGAUGUGAAAUCCCCGGGCUCAACCUGGGAACUGCAUUGGUGACUGGCAGGCUAGAGUAUGGCAGAGGGGGGUAGAAUUCCACGUGUAGCAGUGAAAUGCGUAGAGAUGUGGAGGAAUACCGAUGGCGAAGGCAGCCCCCUGGGCCAAUACUGACGCUCAUGCACGAAAGCGUGGGGAGCAAACAGGAUUAGAUACCCUGGUAGUCCACGCCCUAAACGAUG